CUGUCCACUCAAUAUUUUGAGAACCCAUUGCUUGACGGACAUCAAACUAGGUACACUGGUACAUCCCAAGGAGUAGAUUACCCUCUUGAUUUUGAGGUCACAUGGUCAAAGUUUAAGAGUCAAACUACUAUCCAUUAAAUGAUGCAUACGUAUAACCCUUUUCAAUUUUGCACCAUGAGGGGCAUAUAUGAUUUACAAACAUCUCCUGUUUUCUAUUAAUUUCUUUACGUAAUGACUGAUAGUUCGAAUUCCAAGAUGGCGGCACGCAUUAGCCAAAUGGUAAGAAUUUCUCCAUAUGAUUGACUGCAGUAUGUGAGUAGAUUCCGGCAAUGACUGGAAACUCUCCUAUCAAUGGCGGAUCUAAAGGGGGGGGGGUGUCAGAAAAUUUGGCUAAAAAAGGGAUACAAAUGCUGUAUUUUGAGGAUGGAACCCCUAUUGUAACCAAAAAUGGUAAUCACCCACCCCCACAAAAUUCCUGGAUCCACUCCUACCUGUAUUCAUCGACGAAACAUUCUACCAUAUUAUCAUAUGAACUGAUACUAUCGACAUUUUGGGACGAAUCCUUACAAUAACAAUUCAAUUCUUUUUUAACACAGAAUCUGUUUAAUUUGUGAAAACCACUAUCAUCCAAACCGUAUCACAAAAUAAUCCAAACCGUAUCACAAAAUAAUCCAAACCGUAUCACAAAAUAAUCCAAACCGUACCUAAUCAGGUAAACAUAGUCAUCCAACAUGUUCCGUUUGUUUAGCGUGUCGUCGAUUGAAACAGUUAUUUUACACUUUUGUGGAUCAAUGUCAGAGUUACAAAAUUAGUGAUAAAGAUAAUCAAAGUACUGAAAGUACUCAUGGGAGUUGAACAUUGUGGAAAUUCAGUUAGAACAGAUAGCACUGGAAGGGUAGGGGGAUAAAUGACUGAAUAUUAUCAUGAUUUUAGAUACAAAUCAACUGUUGUUGUUUUUCAAAGCGUUACAACAGCAAACAUGGAUAAUGGAAGGCCCAUGGGCCACAACGCUCCUCGAGUAACUGAAGUUGUGUUGUUGUUUUCUAGAAUUUCACCCCUUUAUAUUCUCAUGAUAAAUGUGACCACAUAUUAAUGUCCAAACAUUCAAAUCAAUAUGGUUAUCAAUGCCUUGCAGUUAUGACGAAGUUUUUUCCCGUGUAUAUAUACAUUCAAGUUUAAUCCUAGUUGUAGCUAAUCUAAGGAUUCAUUACUUGAAAAGGUAGUCCAAUAUGCUAAACUGUCACCUGAGUAUACUACAGUCCUGUAGAGGAUCAAUGGAAUGGUAAAUAAUUGUAUAAUAACUCAAAAUAAAUGAAAUGCAAAAAAAUUAAAAAUCGUCCGGCAUCGGAGAUGCACAAACCGAGUUGCGCAAGGAAUGGGCAUAAAGGAAACCGGCAGAAAAGUUUGCAAGAAUUAUCAAGCAGGGAGCAAAAUUUUGCGUACAUAAAUUUCAGCCGACUUAAAUCCUUUGACCUUGACCUUUAACCCUUGACCAAAAUCAAUAGGCUUCAGGGUUCGAAAUUCACUUUUUCAAGCACUAGUCCGUACGGACUAGUCACUAUUGAUGUUCACUAGUCCGCAAAGCAUUUCACUAGUCCAUCCAGUAUAUCAUUAAAUAAUCAUUUUAUUCAAGAGUAUUUAAUGAAACCAAACACAUCACAGUUGCAAGCAAUUCAUUUUCUGACACCUUCAGAAGAAAAAGACCACCAUACUUUAUUUUGCAUUCAAGAUCUUCAGAAGCAUACAGUAACCUCCGAGUUAAUCCUUUUAUAAAUGUCCAUAAGUGCGUUCGAGAUCGACGUUACCAUUGUUUUCGUGCUCAGUUCUUACAGUCACAGGAGUUCGAAAUUUUAUCAAUAAAGUCAAUAAAAUUCACUCGAUUUACCAAGCCAUGAGCUAUAGUGUUACAAACUCCUGUGUUUGAGUCGUGAAUGACGAGAACAUGUGCGCACAAACGUGCUUGUUCUUAGAUCACACUACUUGCAGUUCUUGCACCUCGAAUCUGUUCUCGUGAUGCGUACUCGGAGUUCGGAAUCGGCAGGAAUUUGUGCUCGUUCGAAGAAUGGCGGUUUCGAACGCACUCCAUGUGUUUGAAAGAUCAGGAUGUCAUAGUCACGCAAACACUUAAUCAUGCAGGUAAUCGACCAUAAGUUCAAACAUCUAAGAGACUCAGACAAAUCUUGCUAAAAUCUUAACCAAUUCAAGAUUGAUUUCCGGAUUUUCACUAGUCCGUACAGACUAGUGCUAUAGAGAGUUUACUAGUCCGACACGUUUUUUACUAGUCUCGGACUUACGGACAUGAGGUAAUUUCGAACCCUGCGGCUUCUUUGUCUCAUCAAGGGCGAUAAUCCAUCUAAGUUUAAUUGAGAUCCUAUAAUUUGUUAAAAAAUUAUAGUGCAGAAAACAAAAUUUUCUCCAAUUUCAGUCUAUUUAUAGCCACUGUGACUUUGACCUUGUGACCCCGGAAUCGAUAGGCUUCUUGUCUUACUGAGGGUGACAAUCGAUCUAAGUUUGAUUGAGAUCCUAUAAUUCGUUCAAGAGCUAUGGUGUGGAAAACAAAAUUUUCUCCAAAUUUCAGUGUAUUUAUAGCCAGUGACCUUGACCUUUGACGUAGUAACUCCAGAAUCGAUAGACUUCCUGGUCUUACUGAGGGUGACAAUCCAUCUAAGUUUGAUUGAGAUCGUAUGAUUCGUUCAAGAGCUAUGGUGCGGAAAACAAAAUUUUCUCCAAAUUUCAGUCUAUUUAUAGCCACUGUGACCUUGGCUUUUGACCUAGUGACCCCCAAAUCGAUAGGCUUCCUCAUCUUACUGAGGGUGACAAUCCAUCUAAGUUUGAAUGAGAUCCUAUAAUUUGCUCAAGAGCUAUGGUGCGGAAAUGAAAUGUUGAUGCGUGCCCGCCCAAAGGCACUUCAUCAGAUCAUAAGCCAAGUUCGACUUCAUCGCAACUCCGCUAAAAAUGAAACACUAGUCAAAUAAUGUUAUUCAUUGCCAAGGUAUUUGGGAUAUUAUACUGUGGCUCAAACAGGGGGUGAAUGAACCUGACAGUAUGGGAAGCAUAUAGUGGAAUCAGACUUGUGAUGCUGGAAAUCUAUAGUGAUUAAUAAACUAUACAUGUACAAGAUCCAUAACUAUUUUUUUUUUCAGUUUAUGAGGGAGAAUCCUCAUGUCUCUUUCAUCUGUAGACAAAUAAACUGUAGAUAAAUAAACAAUGUGUUUUGACCAGAGUAAUUUCCAAUCCUUUUUGCAGCAUAAAUUCAACAUUGUGGCAACUGGGUUAAACUUUGAUAGUGAAGUAAUACAUGGCAGCACCUUAUCCCAUGCUCUUAAAAUUUCUGUUUGACACACACUCAUGACAUCCACUCAAACAUUACAGAGUGCAGCAAAAUCCCAUUGUAAUAGGGGAUUCAAAAUGGAUAACUGGUACAAAAUAUGGUACAUACUAUUCGAAAAGGAUAAUGAAUUUGACAUAUUGAUGUCUUGGAAAAGGAAAUUCUGACAUCGGGGCUCUAAGCGUUUUCAAACAUUGUCAUUUGAUAAAAGUGUUCUACAUUUUUAAAAAUAGAGAUUAAUAUGUCUUUACAUACAUAGGUGAGAAAGUUUCCAUUAUUCCUAGCCGAGACAUACCAUGUAUGCGCAAAAAAUUCAUAAACAAAUAUCAAAAUACUCACGUAGAAAAUGUGGACCUUACCGUCAUCAAGCGCAGUGAAACACGCCAUUUCGAGAUUUUCGCCGACGAAAGCUCGGUAACAGUAAUGAAUAAGGUACACUCAUUUUGUAUCUAUUUUGUGACUUUCUUUAUUAAAAGGAACAGUUCUCUAAUGUGUAACGUGCAAUUACUACGUAAUUCAAUAACUUGAAGCAUGAAGCAGUUUCACUUUGCAACCAGAUAUAAGAAAUUUUAUUUCGUAUUCCGAUCCCGAUCGAAAGUUGUUGACUGGGAAUGACGUGUUUUAAUUCAAUAUACAUGUAACAUCAAGCAUUUUUUAUAUCACAUUAAAAAAAACCAAAUAUAUACACAUACACAAUGUUGUAGAGUUAUUUCUUGUAAAUUUUCUGAGGUUUCGCACCAUAUUCGAUAUUUCGCGCCACGGUGUCAAUAGGUCUUGUGUGCAGUUGUCGUUCGUUUCCCUAUCAAUGUUUAUAGGUGACGCUGCGCUACAAACGACAAUUUUCAACCUUAUCUUUUAUUUUUCUAUGUAUAUCAGUAUCAAUUUGAUCGAAAUCUUGUAUUCAAAUUGAUUUGAAUACAAUAUCAUUGCAUUUACUUACAUGUCAAUUAUCAAAAUUAGAUUAAUUCAGAAAAGUUACAUGGAUUAUUUAAUGGCGGAUGUUUAUAAUAGUUUAUGUUGAUUUACCUAGGAGUAAAUCAGCUGACACAGAACCCCCGUUGACGACCACUAUACAAAUCAAUACAAAUUACUACGCAGAAAAGUGCGUGAUGACCAAGGGAGAUUGAACAUAGUUCAACUCCCAAAAACUGCCCCUUAGUUGCAAAAUGGCCCAUUUCAUGUCUAGUCCUUCACUUAAAUCAAGUUUUUCAUUCCUUUAGUCUCUGUUCGAUGAACAGAACGUUAUUUGGAAAUAAAACUUUCAUCUGAAUCUUCAACAAAAAAAAUGCAUUCCUGUUACAUCAUUCUGUUAAAAGUGCAGAAACCAACAAAACAUGUUGUAUUUCAUUGAAGUAUUCAGUGUAAACUAGCUUACUUUCAAAGAAUUUCACCAUUUUCACCUCAUCCAAAUACAUCACAACCGUCGUGGAUACACGGCAGUGUGAACCCGGAUGUCCAGUGUCAUGGCGGGCGUUGGCACGUUAAAGAACCCUCAAUGAGCAUUACGGUCCUGAGUGUUAUGAUCUAAAUUUGUAGUACUUCAUCUAUAGCUGUUGAAGUCUCAAUAUGAGUUAAAAAUUCUCGACUGGAUGUAAAACAAAAAAGCAAAAUGGGGAAAUCGUUGUAUGAAAGGUGAAGAUAGCGAACAGUGAUCAAUCUCAUAACUCUUAUAAGCAAUGCAAAAUAGAGAGUUGGGCAAACAUGGACCCCUGGACACACCAGAGGUGGGAUCAGGUGCCUAGGAGGAGUAAGCAUCUCCUGUCGACCGAUCACACCUGCUUAUGCGUUUAAGGUAGCCACACCCCCAUGGGUUUCAAAAUUUAGAGAUGUAUACACGUAUGAAAUACAUGCAUCAUUCAAACACGGAGAUGCACUACAGCCCAGUAGCUAAGUACUCUGUUACUAACUUGAAAACACGGAUGUAUAUUUAAUUGCCGUGAUAAGAUUCAGAAAUUCAUUUCAAAAUUAAGGAAUAUCUUCCUCAAGCAUAACUCUGAUCCUUAGACGAAUUUGACUCCAGUCUUUGGCACUCGGUUUUUCAUUUUAUCUCUUAAAAGUUUAUUGUUAUUUCGAAUUUCCAAAAUUUAGGCUUGAGCAUCACUGAAGAGACAUAAUUUGUCGAAAUGCGCAUCUGGUGCAUCAAAAUUGGUACCUUAUAAGUUUUACAUGUAAUAAGAAAGUUUAAAGAACAUUGCUAUAAAAAAGACAUUAUUUUAGGAAAACCUAUUAACAGGUUAUAAAUGCAAGUUGACAGUUGUGUAGAGCUGCAUGUCUGGUGAGUGGAAAUGACAGUUUAAGCAAAUGGCUCUGUCAGUCACACAUAGUCCUAACCUCUUAGAUAUAGAUAGUCAUGGAAGGUCUGGCACACUGGUGAGCUGUAGAACUUUGUAGAAGUAGGCUUAAGGAAUGUACGUUAGCAAUGCUGUUUUCUUCGCUGUUGAUUUCCUCUUCGUCAUUCCAUGUAGAAAUGUACAUAAUUUUACAGGCUUGGUAGGUUGCAGAUGAGAUCUUCAGUGGACAUUCACACAGCAUCCCAGUAUUUGUCAAGACUUGGACGGUCCCUCUCUGUGUUUUGGUCACUUGUACUCGAACCAGCAGGUCCAUCAGUGUCUCGGAGGGCACCAGCUCAGACUGUGGAAUGUUGAGGGAAAUAGGUGUCACCAGAUGAUGAUGCCUAGCAUACACAUGGGUGCUAAUGCGAAACUAAGACACGUGGUCAGCAGCUGAAGAAAUUCAGAUUGAAACCUGCAGGAUCCAGGAAAAGGGAAGGUGGAUGGCCCCAUAUAAAAGGUUGUAAAAGAAGAUGGACAGAUGAAGAUGAACUGUAAAAAUGGAAACCUUUGCGAUUCAGAUUUAAAAAAUGGAAUGUGUACAUCGAAGCAAUUCGAUAUGUACAGACAAAACAUAAAACAUUAUGUGACCAGUCAGAAGCGAUAAUAAGAUCCAAAAUGAACAACAUCAUUUUAGGAAAAGUUCGUAAAACAAGGAUAAACUUCAAAAGAAGACUUUUGCAGGCUUAUGAGAAUUAUUUAGUCUACGCUAAGGUGAAGUGUCCUGAUCAGCAUUUGCCCAUUGUCUUCUGUUAGAUUUUUUAUCCAGUUAUUAUCAUCGAAAUUUAUUACGUUAUACUGCUUUCUGUGCCACCUAUCUUUGUAUUUUCUAGUUACGUUUUGCGGGCUAUCAGCAAAAUGUAUUUGCUGUUUUUGGUUUUAUUUGAGUAAUGAUUUGAUUGAGGUGCAGUUAAUGCUUACUUUUUUCCGCGGUUCGAUAGUAGAGCAGAAAAAUAUUGUAUUAACGGAUCCGUGUCAAUAUUUUCUAUAGAUGUUUGUCAAGCUUGAAUGAACGAGCCAAUCAGUUCAUUAUGCAUAAAUGGUUCGAUGGGUAGUAUCGAGCGUGGUCAUUCUCUAGCCGUCAACCAAGACGAACACAUGUUGAAACUUCAAAAUAAAAUUGAGAUUUUGCAUAUAUAAAUUAUCUCGCCCAGUUUCAGAGAUUUUCCCCAAGAGGAUUUAACUCUGUUUCCCCCUGGGUUUGAUAAUUUAUAAGGGCUAUGUUCAUUAAAUAUAAAAUCGUUGAUUGUCCAUUUUCCUCUUGUUUGAAGAGAUGUAAUUCUGUAGAUGUGAUAUGGGUGAACAAUAAUGUUACACAAGUAUUCAUAUAAUAUGGUAUUAUGUUUUUUACACAUGUACGUUUUGUAGGUGUACAUGUGUUGUGGCUAAUUUCGUGUUUUUUAUGCAGUUUAAGCAUUUUCGGGUUUAUUAUAAUUAAGUAUUUAUCAGACAGGAAAAAGUCCUUUGCAUUGGAAUUUGUGUACCCUCUUCAGCCAUUCAAUUGUUAAAAAUCUUGAAAAUGUUUAUCCUUUUACAUUAUGUAACCUUAAGAUUUGGUGAAAUACUUAAGCACCAUUUUUAAAGAAAUGAGAAUCUGUUUUUUUGUUUUUGUUUUUACAAGAGAACUAUUGAAUUAAGUAACUUGUGAAGACAUCUACAUGGUUGAAUAGUCUUUUUAACUUAUACAGAUCUACCUUACUUUUUAUACGCCCGUCUUUAGACAGGACUUAUUAUGGUACAGCGAUGUCUGUAUGUCCGUCCAUUCGUGGUUUAUUGCUUCUAAUUUCAUUUCUCUUUCACAUAUCAAGCUGAAUCUUGCUAUGUAGCUUCUUUGUGGUUCCCUCUAGACUGUGAUACAAUUUCGACCCAUUUGGAUUUCUCUUACCAGAGUUUCCCCCCUUUAUUUGAACAGCAAGUAUUUUUUUAUGUUAUAUUUGAAUUAAAACAGCAAUUUCUUUUUUGUAAAAAUGAGGGUCCGCCAUUUAUUUUGUUUACCUCGCACUAUAUUGCCGCGGACACACAGGUUUCCAUAGUUUUUCACAAACGUUGUGGUUUUAUCUAUGGUUUUUCCUCGGCGGCGAGGGAAGCACAUUUAUAGUAUUUUGGAAAUAAUAUAAGUAUGACGAGUGUGUUUUGUCAAACAAUGCCUAUGAUUGCUUUAUAUUACGUGUUGUUUGUGGUGUAUAUGUACUUAAAAUAAAUAAAGGUGUCAUCUCGCAUGGUGCGCUACAAUG
Long non-coding RNA from Ostrea edulis (European flat oyster), 7892 nucleotides. RefSeq lists it as uncharacterized. Lineage: Eukaryota; Metazoa; Mollusca; Bivalvia; Ostreida; Ostreidae. The record is from RefSeq and is a predicted model, not a curated record. The transcript has 4 exons.